AGAACUUCGAACAAGGACCUCUAUUUCUUUCGCAAGAGCUUUGUUCAAGAAACAGACUGAAAAUCAAUAAGCAAACAGAUCAUAAAAGUCCCAAGAAACAGAUCAUAAUACAUUGCAGAAAGAGUAAAAAACUUGAAAAUCUAUUAUUAUCUAGUCAAUUAAUCGUGGAAAACUAAAGAAACAGGUUGAAAAUCAUUAAGCACAAGUGAAAACAAAAGAAAUAAGCAGAGUUUCCUCCAAGAAAAAGCCAUCAGCAGCCUAGUAAAAAAGCCUCCUGGCUUGAUUCUUGGGAAGAACCCACCUGCCAUUAACCCAAUCUUGAUGAAUUCUCAGCCUCUCAAAAUCAUAAACAAAUUCAUCUUUUGAAGAACAUUCAAAAUACACAAUAUACUUGUUUCCAAUCCUCGCAAUGACCUUCCCAACCCACCAUCCAUCGUUGUCAAAAGCAUCAACCUGAUCGUACAGUUUGAACUCAGUCACCGGAAUCUCCGGCGGCGGCGGACGAACCUCGGCGGCGGGGACAAUCUCUCUUAACGGACCUGACAUGUCAUCCUUCAAUAGAGUAUGAUACUGCACCAUGUAUUCUUUCCUUAACUGCCCCGUCGCCACCACCGUUGCCUCAUAGUAAGAUCCAAGAAAGCCUUCUUCAUUGCUGGUUAUUUCCACAACUUCACCAGCCCUAUGAAACUUCAUCGUUUUCUCUUCGGAAAUUGAAAUUUGAUUCAAAAUUUUGGGUAUUCUCUUGAUAGAGAAACGGUUUGAUGUUUGUAUUGAGAUAUUACUGUAUAUGUAGGGGUAUUUAUUAGUUAUUACGCUUUUGGAGUUGGGGUUGGAAUAAGGAAAGAAGGUUUGAUGACCGUUAGCAUUCUCCAAAUUUCGGGUUAGUUUAUUAUUAAAGUAAAAAAAAAAAUUUCUAUUUUGC
Molecule: long non-coding RNA, 922 nt
Filed under: Olea europaea subsp. europaea
Lineage: Eukaryota; Viridiplantae; Streptophyta; Magnoliopsida; Lamiales; Oleaceae
Source: RNAcentral